This 253-nucleotide ribosomal RNA is filed under the name uncultured bacterium. RNAcentral describes it as "partial 16S ribosomal RNA". It matches the Rfam family "Bacterial small subunit ribosomal RNA", at positions 524 to 776 of the family's 1533-position model. The record is from RNAcentral.
UACGUAGGUGGCAAGCGUUAUCCGGAUUUAUUGGGUUUAAAGGGUGCGUAGGCGGUUUGAUAAGUUAGAGGUGAAAUGUCGGGGCUCAACCCCGAAACUGCCUCUAAUACUGUUGGACUAGAGAAUAGUUGCGGUAGGCGGAAUGUAUGGUGUAGCGGUGAAAUGCUUAGAGAUCAUACAGAACACCGAUUGCGAAGGCAGCUUACCAAACUAUAUCUGACGUUGAGGCACGAAAGCGUGGGUAGCAAACAGG